AUUUAAUGUUUUGAGAGUCGAGGAGGACAGAGAUAGAUGUAACGACCUCGAAAAUUUAAAAGGAAAUGUAUAUAAAGAAUAUGAAUGCAGAAGCGAAAUAAAAUGUUCUGAUUAAUAUCCCUUACACCAUAACUUAAACGUACUAACAAUAUUAGCAAAAUAAGUCCUAUAAAGGGAAUACUAGAAACGAAAGACUAUAAAGGAAACUAAUAAACAUGUAGGUAUCUACUCGCCGUAUUCUUGUGGAUCGGGU
This 253-nucleotide long non-coding RNA is filed under the name Carica papaya (papaya). RNAcentral describes it as "long non-coding RNA (CPAP_LNC016256)". Lineage: Eukaryota; Viridiplantae; Streptophyta; Magnoliopsida; Brassicales; Caricaceae. The record is from RNAcentral.